RNAcentral lists this unclassified non-coding RNA (315 nucleotides) under uncultured fungus. RNAcentral's name for it is "sequence contains ITS1". The stretch from base 1 to 105 matches the Rfam family "5.8S ribosomal RNA", at positions 50 to 154 of the family's 154-position model. Lineage: Eukaryota; Fungi. The record is from RNAcentral.
GAAUUGCGAAAAGUCGUGUGAUUUGCAAAUAGUCGUGAAUCAUUGAAUGUUUGAACGCAACUUGCGCUUGUUGUUUGUGCGACAAGCGGUAUAGUAUGAGUGUCUUUCAACUGACCUGUGCCCCGUGAGGGGCGCAGGGAAGUGCGGGCUCCACUCCGAUAGGAGUGGUCCCGUGAAAAGCAGGUGGUCACUUCAGGUCACGCAGUGCAGUGGUUCUCCCCAGGGAGAUUUUCAGCGCUACGUGGCCCGCUUCGCGGCCACACAACACUUCAAAUCUCCGACCUCAUAUCUAUACAGACUACCCGCUGGAUUUAA